UCCUUGGUGGCUCAGACGGUAAAGAAUCUGCCUGUAAUGCAGAAGACCCGGGUUUGAUCCCUGGGUCAGGAA
Molecule: transfer RNA, 72 nt
Organism: Ovis aries (sheep)
Lineage: Eukaryota; Metazoa; Chordata; Mammalia; Artiodactyla; Bovidae
Rfam family: tRNA
About the family: Transfer RNA (tRNA) molecules are approximately 80 nucleotides in length. Their secondary structure includes four short double-helical elements and three loops (D, anti-codon, and T loops).
Source: Rfam